Molecule: ribosomal RNA, 2946 nt
Filed under: Triticum aestivum (bread wheat)
Lineage: Eukaryota; Viridiplantae; Streptophyta; Magnoliopsida; Poales; Poaceae
Description: partial small subunit ribosomal RNA
Source: RNAcentral
AUGGUGUUCGUGCAGUACUUUCUGCUUCCUGGAAAAGAGCUUAUCAAUGGCUUGGUGUUCCUUAAUGAUGACAGUUGGUGUGUGAAGAUGGCUAAGUACAUUUGUGUUGGAGGAGUUGCUAAUGUGUAUGUGGAGUAUCAUGGAGAGGAAGAUAGCAAUGACAACAGCAGUGGGAGUGAUUUUGAGGAUGAAAUCAUGGAACAGAGUGAUGAUGAUGAACUAGAUGCAGUUAUAACUGCUGAAGAACCAGAUGCAGUUAUAACUGCUGAUGAACCAGAUGCAGUAACUGGUGUUGAACCUGCAGAGUCUGACACUAAUGUGCUCAUACCUGAUGAAACUGGUGUGAUCACUCAAAGAAUUUGCAGCCCCUUGAAGCAGAGAAGAAGCAAUGCCAUAGAAGUAGAUGUGGAUGAAAUGACAGGCAUGGAAGGAGUUUUUUCUCAGGUUUUGGAUCCAAGUCAACCUGCAUCAGACUGUGCUUCUGAACCUCAGGCUUCAGGGCAUGUCAAUAACCAAAUGGUGAUAGCUGCAAAUGUUGACAGUGGCAAUCAAAAUUCAGACUCAGACAGUGACACUGAAUACAUUGGACAUACUGAUGAUAGUAGGGAGGAUUCAGAAGUUGUGGAGCUCAGGAGACAUGCUAGGAAAUUUAAGAAAAGGAUGAGAGACUCCAAGAGCUGGAUAGGUAGGGAUGCUACAGGGAUAGUGCCAAUUGAAUUGAUUGCCAACAUGGAGGAGCAAAUUGAAAGAGAAGAAAUGGAUUGGAACUAUGAUUCAUCUGAUGAGGACUACAGCUAUGAUGAAGAUUCAGAUGGUCAUAUAAGGAAGAGGAAGAGUACAUUCCCAAGAUACAACCCUGAAAGUGAAGUACCACAUUUUGCUUUGACCAUGGUUUUUAGAAGAAAGAAUCAGCUGUGCAAAGCUUUGAGAAGAUAUGGACUAGUAACAAAGAGGAGCAUAAAGUUCAUGAAAUCUGAGUGUGACAGAGUAAGGGCAAAGUGUGGAUGGCCUGACUGCCCAUGGCUGAUAUAUGCAGCCAAGAGAUCAAGGACUUCAAGAUUCCAAGUCAUAACCUAUAAUGAUGAUCACCAAUGUGCACAGAACAGAUGCAACAAGUUGGUUACUGCAAAGGUGAUUGCACAGAGGUAUGAGCACUUCAUAUUGGCAAAUCCUAUGUGGAAAAUUGAGAGCAUGAAAGCAACUAUUUUGCAAGAUAUGUUUGCUGAUGUCUCCACUUCAAAGUGCAAGCAUGCAAAAAGAAUUGCCAUGGACAAAUUAUUGUGUGGAAUGAACAAUGAAUACACUAGAGUGUUUGACUACCAACUUGAGCUGCUAAGGAGCAACCCUGGAAGCACAGUUGCUGUUUGCAUGGAUCCAACCAACAUGGAGGAAAGUGUAUUCCAGAGCUUCUACGUGUGCUUUAAUGCAAUGAAGCAAGGAUUCAAGGCUGGUUGCAGAAAAGUAAUAGGCCUUGAUGGUUGUUUCUUCAAAGGUGCAGUGAAGGGUGAGCUAUUAUGUGCCAUAGGUAGAGAUGCAAAUAAUCAAAUGUAUCCACUAGCCUGGGCUGUAGUUGAGAAUGAAACUAAUAUCACAUGGAAGUGGUUUGUUGGGCUGCUCAUUAAGGACUUGGAAAUAAACAAUAAUGGAGCUGGCUGGGUUAUUAUUUCUGAUCAGCAGAAGGGCUUGAUAAAUGCAGUGAAUGAUUACCUUCCUGCUGCAGAGCAUAGGAUGUGUGCUAGGCACAUUUAUGCUAAUUGGAGGAAGAAACAUAGAGAUCAUGAGUGGCAAAAGAAAUUCUGGGCAGUUGCUAAGGCUUCCAACAGGCAAGAUUUCAACUAUUAUAAGGCCAAGCUUGCACAGGUCACUCCUGAAGGGGCUAAAGACAUCAUGAGGACUGAGCCAGUGCACUGGGCAAGGGCUUUUUUCUCAGUUGGUUCAAAUUGUGAGUCAGUUGACAACACCCUUUGUGAGUCAUUCAACCAUGCUAUAGUUGAUGCUAGGUUUUAUCCUAUUAUUUCUAUGAAUGAAAAAAUUAGGAAGAAAGUACUUGUGAGAAUUCAGGAACAAAGAGAGAAAGGUGCCAAUUUUAGAGGAAAAAUAUGCCAUGCUGUUUUUAAGAAGCUCAAGAAAAGUAUUGCUAGAACACAAUAUCUUGAAGUGCUCUGGAAUGGAGAAAAUGGAUUUGAAGUGAAGCAAGUGAAUGGAAGAGGAAGGCAGUACACUGUGGACCUGGAAAAGUGGACAUGCUCUUGUGGGUACUUCCAGCUGGCAGGGCUUCCUUGCCAUCAUGCAAUUAGUGCCAUCUACAAGUGCAACAAAAAUAUUGAAGAUUUUAUUGCUCCUUGCUACUUUGUUGAAGUGUUCAACAAAAUCUAUGAGCAUUGCUUGGAGCCAGUGGAGGGUGAAGAGAUGUGGCCAGUGUCACCCAAUCCUAGGCCAGUGCCUCCUGAAUAUGUUAGGUUGCCAGGAAAAGAGAAGAAAAAAGGAAGGCCUAAAAACAAUGAUAGAAGAAGAGAAGAAACUGAGCAACCUAAGGGAAAGAAAAUGAGCAAGCAUGGCACAAUUAUCAAAUGCUCAUUGUGUGGUAACCCUGGACACAACAAAUCAGGAUGUAAACAGAACCCAGAGAGAGGCAAGAAAAAGAAUGCACAUCUUGCUAGAACUAGCAAGAAAAAGAACCCAACUGAGCAAGCCAAAGGAAGUGCAUUUGCCUCUGCCUCUGCAUCUGCUCCACCAACAGCAACAAGUUCAGUACCAGCAGGUCCUUCUACUGGGACCAACAGGUUUAAGCCUCCAAGAAAGAGAACUGUAACUGCUGAAGCUGGAUCAUCUACUGCCCCUACAGCAUCUACUUCCACAAGGACAGGAUCUGGAGCUAAGAGGGGAAGAAGGCCUGCAUCAUCAGUGCCAAGCUUCAGAUAUUUCACUUGCAGUGGAAACUAUUAG